AGGGAUCAUUACCGAGUUUACAACUCCCAAACCCAAUGUGAACGUUACCAAACUGUUGCCUCGGCGGGAUCUCUGCCCCGGGUGCGUCGCAGCCCCGGACCAAGGCGCCCGCCGGAGGACCAACCAAAACUCUUAUUGUAUACCCCCUCGCGGGUUUUUUACUAUCUGAGCCAUCUCGGCGCCCCUCGUGGGCGUUUCGAAAAUGAAUCAAAACUUUCAACAACGGAUCUCUUGGUUCUGGCAUCGAUGAAGAACGCAGCGAAAUGCGAUAAGUAAUGUGAAUUGCAGAAUUCAGUGAAUCAUCGAAUCUUUGAACGCACAUUGCGCCCGCCAGUAUUCUGGCGGGCAUGCCUGUCCGAGCGUCAUUUCAACCCUCGAACCCCUCCGGGGGGUCGGCGUUGGGGAUCGGCCCUUUACGGGGCCGGCCCCGAAAUACAGUGGCGGUCUCGCCGCAGCCUCUCCUGCGCAGUAGUUUGCACACUCGCAUCGGGAGCGCGGCGCGUCCACAGCCGUUAAACACCCCAAACUUCUGAAAUGUUGACCUCGGAUCAGGUAGGAAUACCCGCUGAACUUAA
RNAcentral lists this ribosomal RNA (575 nucleotides) under Trichoderma virens. Its description in RNAcentral is "eukaryotic LSU rRNA". The stretch from base 212 to 365 matches the Rfam family "5.8S ribosomal RNA". The record is from RNAcentral. Lineage: Eukaryota; Fungi; Ascomycota; Sordariomycetes; Hypocreales; Hypocreaceae. RNAcentral also lists the same sequence under 2 other names.